RNAcentral lists this long non-coding RNA (322 nucleotides) under Mustela putorius furo (domestic ferret). RNAcentral's name for it is "lncRNA (ENSMPUG00000028791.1)". The record is from RNAcentral. Lineage: Eukaryota; Metazoa; Chordata; Mammalia; Carnivora; Mustelidae.
GUUCCUAUGAGCACCUCACAAGACAGACCCUGUGGAGCAUCAAACACGAGGGAAACAUGCCGAAUUAAUACAGGGGGAAUCCCACAGGCUUGGAAAUUCCGAAGACAGGCAAAAUGAGCUUGUGGGAAGUGUUCUUGACUCCUUUCCCAAGAGAGGUCCUUUUCACUUUGGGCUUGACUUGAAGACCCAGGUAUGUUACUUUGUUUUGUGUUUGGGAGGGUUAGACCUAAUAUCCUUUGGACCCUCCUGGAAUUCCCAUCCCGAGUUAUCCUGGCUUUCCCUCCACAAUUCUCCCUCCCUGAGUCCCUGCUGUAACUUUUAA